RNAcentral lists this transfer RNA (73 nucleotides) under Ixodes scapularis (black-legged tick). It matches the Rfam family "tRNA". Rfam says of the family: Transfer RNA (tRNA) molecules are approximately 80 nucleotides in length. Their secondary structure includes four short double-helical elements and three loops (D, anti-codon, and T loops). The record is from Rfam by way of RNAcentral. Lineage: Eukaryota; Metazoa; Arthropoda; Arachnida; Ixodida; Ixodidae.
UCCUGGUUAGUUCAGUUGGUAGAGUGCUCCACUGAAAAUAGAGAGGUCCCUGGUUCGAUACCUGGAUCAGGCG